This 497-nucleotide ribosomal RNA is filed under the name uncultured bacterium. RNAcentral describes it as "partial 16S ribosomal RNA". It matches the Rfam family "Bacterial small subunit ribosomal RNA", at positions 28 to 507 of the family's 1533-position model. The record is from RNAcentral.
GAUGAACGCUGGCGGCGUGCCUAAUACAUGCAAGUCGAGCGAACAGACGAGGAGCUUGCUCCUCUGACGUUAGCGGCGGACGGGUGAGUAACACGUGGAUAACCUACCUAUAAGACUGGGAUAACUUCGGGAAACCGGAGCUAAUACCGGAUAAUAUAUUGAACCGCAUGGUUCAAUAGUGAAAGACGGUUUUGCUGUCACUUAUAGAUGGAUCCGCGCCGCAUUAGCUAGUUGGUAAGGUAACGGCUUACCAAGGCAACGAUGCGUAGCCGACCUGAGAGGGUGCUCGGCCCCACCGGAACUGAGACACGGUCCAGACUCCUACGGGAGGCAGCAGUAGGGAAUCUUCCGCAAUGGGCGAAAGCCUGACGGAGCAACGCCGCGUGAGUGAUGAAGGUCUUCGGAUCGUAAAACUCUGUUAUUAGGGAAGAACAAAUGUGUAAGUAACUAUGCACGUCUUGACGGUACCUAAUCAGAAAGCCACGGCUAACUACGUG